Molecule: ribosomal RNA, 594 nt
Filed under: Dendropsophus aff. minutus MUFAL13879
Lineage: Eukaryota; Metazoa; Chordata; Amphibia; Anura; Hylidae
Description: partial large subunit ribosomal RNA
Rfam family: Bacterial large subunit ribosomal RNA
Source: RNAcentral
CGGCCGCGGUAUCCUAACCGUGCGAAGGUAGCGUAAUCACUUGUUCUUUAAAUGAGGACUAGUAUGAAUGGCACCACGAGGGUUAUGCUGUCUCCUUUUUCUAAUCAAUGAAACUGAUCUCCCCGUGAAGAAGCGGGGAUGAAAUUAUAAGACGAGAAGACCCUAUGGAGCUUUAAACCAUGUAACACUGGCUUAAACAUUAAAAUAUUCCAGAAUUUUCAUAACUACUCUAGCCAUUAUGAUUACUAGUUUUAGGUUGGGGUGACCACGGAGCAAAAAUUAACCUCCAUGUUGAACGGAGCUACUCCUGAACCAAAAGCCACGACUUUAAGCACUAAUAAAUUAACAUUAAUUGACCCAAUAUUUUUGAUCAACGAACCAAGUUACCCUAGGGAUAACAGCGCAAUCCAUUUUAAGAGCCCCUAUCGACAAAUGGGUUUACGACCUCGAUGUUGGAUCAGGGUAUCCCAGUGGUGCAGCCGCUACUAAAGGUUCGUUUGUUCAACGAUUAAAACCCUACGUGAUCUGAGUUCAGACCGGAGGGACGUGAUCUGAGUUCAGACCGGACGUGAUCUGAGUUCAGACCGGACGUGA